GCCAGUCUGGCUCAGUCAGCAGAGCAUGUGACUCUUAAUCUCAGAGUCAUGAGUUCAAGCCCCACGUUGGGCA
This 73-nucleotide transfer RNA is filed under the name Ailuropoda melanoleuca (giant panda). It matches the Rfam family "tRNA". From Rfam's summary of the family: Transfer RNA (tRNA) molecules are approximately 80 nucleotides in length. Their secondary structure includes four short double-helical elements and three loops (D, anti-codon, and T loops). Further hydrogen bonds mediate the characteristic L-shaped molecular structure. tRNAs have two regions of fundamental functional importance: the anti-codon, which is responsible for specific mRNA codon recognition, and the 3' end, to which the tRNAs corresponding amino acid is attached (by aminoacyl-tRNA synthetases). tRNAs cope with the degeneracy of the genetic code in two manners: having more than one tRNA (with a specific anti-codon) for a particular amino acid; and 'wobble' base-pairing, i.e. permitting non-standard base-pairing at the 3rd anti-codon position. The record is from Rfam by way of RNAcentral. Lineage: Eukaryota; Metazoa; Chordata; Mammalia; Carnivora; Ursidae.